GAUGAAGAACGCAGCGAAAUGCGAUAAGUAAUGUGAAUUGCAGAAUUCAGUGAAUCAUCGAAUCUUUGAACGCACAUUGCGCCCGCCAGUAUUCUGGCGGGCAUGCCUGUUCGAGCGUCAUUUCAACCAUCAAGCCCCCGGCUUGUGUUGGGGACCUGCGGCUGCCGCAGGCCCUGAAAACCAGUGGCGGGCUCGCUAGUCACUCCGAGCGUAGUAAUACAUCUCGCUCAGGGCGUGCUGCGGGUUCCGGCCGUUAAAAAGCCUUAUUUACCCAAGGAUGACCUCGGAUCAGGUAGGAAGACCCGCUGAACUUAAGCAUAUCAAUAAGCGGAGGA
This 335-nucleotide unclassified non-coding RNA is filed under the name soil metagenome. Its description in RNAcentral is "partial contains 5.8S ribosomal RNA, internal transcribed spacer 2, and large subunit ribosomal RNA". The stretch from base 1 to 120 matches the Rfam family "5.8S ribosomal RNA", at positions 35 to 154 of the family's 154-position model. The record is from RNAcentral.